GACGAACGCUGGCGGCGUGCUUAACACAUGCAAGUCGAACGGAAAGGCCCUGCUUUUGUGGGGUGCUCGAGUGGCGAACGGGUGAGUAACACGUGAGUAACCUGCCCUUGACUUUGGGAUAACUUCAGGAAACUGGGGCUAAUACCGGAUAGGAGCUCCUGCUGCAUGGUGGGGGUUGGAAAGUUUCGGCGGUUGGGGAUGGACUCGCGGCUUAUCAGCUUGUUGGUGGGGUAGUGGCUUACCAAGGCUUUGACGGGUAGCCGGCCUGGGAGGGUGACCGGCCACAUUGGGACUGAGGUACGGCCCAGGCUCCUACGGGAGGCAGCAGUGGGGAAUAUUGCACAAUGGGCGGAAGCCUGAUGCAGCAACGCCGCGUGCGGGAUGACGGCCUUCGGGUUGUAAACCGCUUUCGCCUGUGACGAAGCGUGAGUGACGGUAAUGGGUAAAGAAGCACCGGCUAACUACGUG
This 468-nucleotide ribosomal RNA is filed under the name uncultured bacterium. RNAcentral's name for it is "partial 16S ribosomal RNA". It matches the Rfam family "Bacterial small subunit ribosomal RNA", at positions 28 to 507 of the family's 1533-position model. The record is from RNAcentral.